AGAGUUUGAUCAUGGCUCAGAUUGAACGCUGGCGGCAUGCCUUACACAUGCAAGUCGAACGGCAGCGCGGGAGCAAUCCUGGCGGCGAGUGGCGAACGGGUGAGUAAUACAUCGGAACGUGCCCAAUCGUGGGGGAUAACGCAGCGAAAGCUGUGCUAAUACCGCAUACGAUCUACGGAUGAAAGCAGGGGAUCGCAAGACCUUGCGCGAAUGGAGCGGCCGAUGGCAGAUUAGGUAGUUGGUGAGGUAAAGGCUCACCAAGCCUUCGAUCUGUAGCUGGUCUGAGAGGACGACCAGCCACACUGGGACUGAGACACGGCCCAGACUCCUACGGGAGGCAGCAGUGGGGAAUUUUGGACAAUGGGCGAAAGCCUGAUCCAGCCAUGCCGCGUGCAGGAUGAAGGCCUUCGGGUUGUAAACUGCUUUUGUACGGAACGAAACGGCCUUUUCUAAUAAAGAGGGCUAAUGACGGUACCGUAAGAAUAAGCACCGGCUAACUACGUGCCAGCAGCCGCGGUAAU
RNAcentral lists this ribosomal RNA (521 nucleotides) under uncultured bacterium. RNAcentral's name for it is "bacterial SSU rRNA". It matches the Rfam family "Bacterial small subunit ribosomal RNA", at positions 8 to 524 of the family's 1533-position model. The record is from RNAcentral.